RNAcentral lists this transfer RNA (69 nucleotides) under Myxine glutinosa (Atlantic hagfish). RNAcentral describes it as "transfer RNA-Met". The record is from RNAcentral. Lineage: Eukaryota; Metazoa; Chordata; Myxini; Myxiniformes; Myxinidae.
AGUAAUGUAAGCUAAACUAAGCUCUUGGGUUCAUACCCCAAAAAUGUAAGUAAUACCUUUCCUUUACUA